This is a non-coding RNA of Dallia pectoralis (Alaska blackfish), 71 nucleotides long. The record is from the annotation of a GenBank genome assembly. NCBI's taxonomy places the organism in Eukaryota, Metazoa, Chordata, Actinopteri, Esociformes, Umbridae.
GUGUCAGCUCAGUUGGUAGAGCACGAUACUAGCAAUGGCAGGGUUGCGGGUUUGAUUCCCAUGGGGGGACA